This 2498-nucleotide unclassified non-coding RNA is filed under the name Hevea brasiliensis (rubber tree). Lineage: Eukaryota; Viridiplantae; Streptophyta; Magnoliopsida; Malpighiales; Euphorbiaceae. The record is from RNAcentral.
GGCCAUAAAAUCUGUAAUUCUUCGUCAUGUACUUGUUAGGUUUUGUGAAUGCUUAGUGCAGGUUUUGGGAGCAUCAUGGUAUGUGGCUUCCAUACAAAGGCAGAGAGAGUGCUGGGAAAGACAAUGCGAUCGAGAGAGAAACCACACACAUUCUCCUUCUUGUAGCCCUACUUUUUUGGAUUGUGCUACCAGGAAUACUCCUGCACGCAAUGCUUGGCUUAAAAUCACUCAGCUGCUCACUAAAUGUGAUGCCAAAAAUGAUGAAAACUUUCAGUUUGGAAUGUUUGCUGAUGCCUUUACCAAUCAUGUCGCUGAAGCAAUUUUCAUUGAUAAAUAUUUCUAUUGCCUUUGGUGGGGUUUAAGAAAUCUGAGUUCAUAUGGGCAAAAUUUGAUGGCAAGUGCUUAUGAAGGUGAACUAUUGUUCAGCAUUGGCAUAUGCAUUAUGGGUCUUGUGUUCUUUGCACAUCUCAUAGGCAACAUGCAGACCUAUAUGCAAUCCACAACAGCUAGACUAGAAGAGUGGAGGAUUCGAAGAAAAGAUACAGAGGAAUGGAUGAGUCACCGACAAUUACCUCCAGAAUUGCAAGAACGUGUUCGACGUUUUGUCCAAUACAAAUGGCGAGCGACAAGAGGUGUCGAUGAAGAAUCCAUCUUGAAGUCUCUACCUUUGGACCUGCGACGUCAAAUUCAAAGGCAUCUCUGUCUGGCUCUUGUUCGACGUGUUCCUUUUUUUUCACAAAUGGAUGAUCAAUUACUAGAUGCAAUAUGUGAACGUCUAGUGUCAUCUCUGAACACCAAAGAUACAUACAUUGUGAGGGAAGGAGAUCCAGUGAAUGAGAUGCUUUUCAUCAUUAGAGGACAACUAGAGAGCUCCACUACUAACGGUGGAAGGACAGGUUUUUUCAACUCAAUCAUACUAAGGGCUGGUGACUUCUGUGGAGAAGAAUUGUUGACAUGGGCGUUGCUGCCAACCUCUUGCCUAAACUUGCCUUCAUCCACUAGAACAGUCAAGGCACUAAAUGAAGUCGAGGCCUUUGCUCUUAGAGCAGAAGACCUCAAAUUUGUUGCUAAACAAUUUAAACACUUGCAUAGCAAGAAGUUGCAGCAUGCUUUCAGGUAUUACUCUCAUCAGUGGAGGACUUGGGGAGCUUGCUAUAUACAAGUUGCAUGGAGGAGGUGUAGAAGAAGGAAAUUGCAGAUGGAAUUGGCAAGGCAAGAGAGUUUAUAUUAUGCUCAAGUUUUGGAAGGUGAAGGUGAUUAUAGUAGUGAGGGAUCAUCAUUAGAAAAUGCAAACAAUGUACAACAUUUUGGGGCUACAAUUCUUGCAUCAAAAUUUGCCGCAAAUACAAGGAGGGGAAUGAUUAAUAGAGCAGUCCUUGAUGAUGAUUCUACCUUAAAAAUGCCUAAGCUGUUUAAACCACAAGACCCUGAUUUUUAUACAGAACAUGAAUAGUUGAAUUUUGCACAGGCUACAACUCCCCCCUACACAACGCGCCCCCGCCCACGCCGCCCAGCACCCCCCCCCUCGCCCCACCAAAAAAAAAGGGCAUGAAAAAACAAAAAUACAUAGUCCAUAUGUGAAUAUUGUAUACUUAAAACCAAGAAAUCAAAGAAUAAUCUUGUAUACAUUGGUUUCCAUUUGUUUUUUUUUAAUUUUUUUUAUUUCUUCAUUAUUAGAUCACUUAGAAACUCAGUUUGUCAAUGAAAGGCGUCUAUGCCACCACUCUUUCCAAGAUAGAUAAGCUUGAGGUAGACGUGGAGUUCUUGGAAAGGCAACAAGCUCCAGCACUUCAAAAGACACACAAUCAGCUCCAGCAAAGUCUUUUUGAAUUUUUGAAGUGUAGUAAGCAAGAUGCUCAAGAACACAAGACUAGAAGCAAGGCUAAUCAUCAUAUAAAAGACCUCAAAUAUUAUGCUGCUACCAGAGAAGGGAGAGGAUUUAAACAAUGGGAGUCAAUGCAAGAAGCAUCCCUCGAUGGCAUGCAUUGAAUAGGCAAAAAUGAUUUAGUAUUGCAAUAGUUAAGAUAAAGUUCUAGUCCUAAAGAGAGCUAUAUAAAGGAAAAGUAUUCAUAAACAUAGCUAAAACUAAAUAAAGGAAAAUGACUAUACAUUUUAUAAAAUAAUAUUAAAAUGAACAUGGAAUCUGGCAAAAGAAUUCUUCUAAACCUGGUUUGCAUUAUCUCCAUUCAUCUGAUUACUAUGUGCCAACUGCCAUUUUAAGGAAAAGCAUAUAGUUCUUUCACACUUAAAGCUCUGAAAAUAGCCUUCAAGCAUUUUCCCUGAAUGAUACCAUUUCAUACCUAAGGUUUAAUCUGAUUUAACAAUAAAGAAACAUUUGCUUCUGAUAUAAAUCAACAGGAGAUGAUAAAUAUCCUAAAAUAUGCUAUCUAUAUUGAGAAAUGAUUAAUAGGAAAUUUGGAAAGAAAAAUAAUUCGAGAAGUACUUGUUUAGGUGGAAAAAUUUCAACUUUUGGAUCAGGUUCCACUGCAACACAUAUA